This 1520-nucleotide unclassified non-coding RNA is filed under the name Trichogramma pretiosum. RNAcentral's name for it is "uncharacterized LOC106653314, transcript variant X1". The record is from RNAcentral. Lineage: Eukaryota; Metazoa; Arthropoda; Insecta; Hymenoptera; Trichogrammatidae.
AUGAUAGGAGCCAAUCUGCGAUUCGGCAUCGGGGCGUCGGGCAAUGUCACGUCGAACGCCACAAAGGUCUUCCAGUGCCAUCCGGGCGGCGUGGCCGAGGCCACCGUCAUUUUUAGCCUCGGCGCUAUGGGAAUGGGCGCCAACAUUAUGCUCAUGGCCCUCAUACUCGGCAAGCGAAACUUGAGAAGAUGGUCGCAAGGUCUGCUGUUUCAUCAAGCCAUGGUGGAUUGCGCGCGAGCCGCCAUCCUCUUGCCACUCGGCUCGAGCAUCCUCAACUGUCAGCCGGUCAAUAAGUGCUCUCUGGUCGAGACGGCCUUUCUCUUGCUGGUCACCGUUUCCACGGUCAACAUGCUUACUACCGUGCUCAACGACAGUCCCGUCUUCGAGGAGGAGAACGACGGCGAUGGCAUAGAGAUCGCCGCGCCCAUUCUCAUGGAUUCACCUCAGUGCGUAAUCUUCGGUACGUUCAUGAUCUGGUUCGCGAGCAUCACCAUCAAUUUGGGCCCGACCUUUCUGAGCGGUGCGCUGGCCGCCAACACGGAGACGGGCCACAACGAGCCCAGCUGUCCCCUGGUGCACGGCCCCUUCCGCCACUACAUACUCAAUCUGUUAUGGAUAUUCAUCAACAUCAUCUGCGUCGUGCUGACGCUCUUCCACCUCAGAAAGCUGCACAGAGACUUGACGAAAUCCAACGUCGAGGCGGUGAGAGUAACCGGACUCGUGACCACACUGGUCAACGUGACCGGCGGCCAGGCGGCUGGACCGAGACCCGGAGAAGACGGCGGCUCGGCGGUCGACGGUGUUCGCAGAAGCAGCGGUACGCCAAAGAGGGUUGGCGCCAUCCAGGAGCAUCAAAAAAUGAGAAACUAUCUGCGAAGAAUAGAGCGCGACGGCGUCCAGAGGGUGAAGAUGUUUCUCGUCAUCACGGCGGCCUACGUCAUUUUCUGGGGGCCGCUGUUCUUCGUCACCCUGGUGCAUCAUCCAGCGAUCGGCAACACGACGGGAUACGAGGUAACGCUGCACAUCGCCUACGUGCACGCGUUCGUCAAUCCGACCCUCUUCCUCACGCUGCACCGCGGCCUGCGGCAGGGCAUGACCGACGUCUGUUGCGGCUGCUGCGAGAGCUUCGCCCGCUGGAUCCUCGGCGCCACCGCCCCCGGCAGCCCCGUCAUGUCCAUCAGCGGCGGCGGUCUCCAUCAUCAGAUCCAACAGCAGCAGCAGCAGCAGCAGCCGCCGCGCUACGACGUGCAGGCGUCGCGCCACACGCAGACGCCCAAGCUGCCCUACGUCACGGCUCAGGCGGCGGCCAGCUGCGACCUCAGCGACGUGGCCCUGCUCAAGCCGCCGCUGCCGCCGCAGCCCAAGCAUCACAUGCUCCUUAUUUAAAACUAUGGAAAGUUGAGAAUUUUUGAGCGAAGAUGUCACUUUUGUAACUGGCGACAGCGGAAAAUAGGCUGAUCGCUCCGAUCUCUGGGGCAUCUCGUCGUCGCGGCCUAAGAGCACCACCAGCCUGUACGAGG